Molecule: long non-coding RNA, 356 nt
Organism: Lepidothrix coronata (blue-crowned manakin)
Lineage: Eukaryota; Metazoa; Chordata; Aves; Passeriformes; Pipridae
Exons: 3
Source: RefSeq, a predicted model, not a curated record
CAGGAGCCGGGCUCUGCUCCCACAGGCUUUGGGUACCCAGGGAUGGGGCUGCACCGUCCUUGCACCCUGGUGCUCCCUGGGAUGUGUCCCCCGAGCUGGAGUGAAAGCUGUUCCAGAGCCCUUGGGGCUGCCCUGCCCUUCCCAUCACUGGAGGAUGCCCACUUUGUGCUUCAACCAGCAGUUCUCUACCACUGAUUUAAAGCAUGGGACCUGUGUGCCAGCACCAAAAAUUGGGGGAAAUCUCCUUGGAUGCAGGCACUGGGAUAGCAGGUUUCCACCCAGCCAGGUGGUCCCGGGAUGUGCAGAUCCAGAAGUGCAGAGGUGGAAAAUCACCUGUACCCAGAUCUGCUUGCCCU